This 253-nucleotide ribosomal RNA is filed under the name uncultured bacterium. RNAcentral's name for it is "partial 16S ribosomal RNA". It matches the Rfam family "Bacterial small subunit ribosomal RNA", at positions 524 to 776 of the family's 1533-position model. The record is from RNAcentral.
UACGUAGGGUGCAAGCGUUAAUCGGAAUUACUGGGCGUAAAGCGUGCGCAGGUGGCUCGCUAAGGCCGAUGUGAAAUCCCCGGGCUUAACCUGGGAACUGCAUUGGUGACUGGCGGGCUAGAGUAUGGCAGAGGGGGGCAGAAUUCCACGUGUAGCAGUGAAAUGCGUAGAGAUGUGGAGGAAUACCGAUGGCGAAGGCAGCCCCCUGGGCCAAUACUGACGCUCAUGCACGAAAGCGUGGGGAGCAAACAGG